AAUUUUUGACAAUGGGGGAAACCAUGAUCCAGCCAUCCCGCGUGUAUGAUGAAGGACUUCGGUAUGUUAAGUACUUUUUGCAGAGAGGCAAAGGUAUCCCCUACUACUGGAUACUGCUGACGGUAUCUGCAGAAGAAGCACCGGCUAACUACGUGCCAGCAGCCGCGGUAAUACGUAUGGUGCAAACGUUAAAGGGAAUUACUGGGCGUAAAGCGUGUGUAGGCGGUUCGGAAAGAAAGAUGUGAAAUCCCAGGGCUCAACCUUGGAACUGCAUUUUUAACUGCCGAGCUAGAGUAUGUCAGAGGGGGGUAGAAUUCCACGUGUAGCAGUGAAAUGCGUAGAUAUGUGGAGGAAUACCAAUGGCGAAGGCAGCCCCCUGGGAUAAUACUGACGCUCAGACACGAAAGCGUGGGGAGCAAACAGG
Molecule: ribosomal RNA, 424 nt
Filed under: uncultured bacterium
Lineage: Bacteria
Description: partial 16S ribosomal RNA
Rfam family: Bacterial small subunit ribosomal RNA
Source: RNAcentral